GCCAGACUCCUACGGGAGGCAGCAGUGGGGAAUAUUGCACAAUGGGGGAAACCCUGAUGCAGCGACGCCGCGUGAGUGAAGAAGUAUUUCGGUAUGUAAAGCUCUAUCAGCAGGGAAGAAAAUGACGGUACCUGAUUAAGAAGCCCCGGCUAACUACGUGCCAGCAGCCGCGGUAAUACGUAGGGGGCAAGCGUUAUCCGGAUUUACUGGGUGUAAAGGGAGCGUAGACGGUGAUGCAAGUCAGAAGUGAAAGCCCGGGGCUCAACUCCGGGACUGCUUUUGAAACUGUGUGACUGGAGUGCAGGAGAGGUAAGCGGAAUUCCUGGUGUAGCGGUGAAAUGCGUAGAUAUUAGGAGGAACACCAGUGGCGAAGGCGGCUUACUGGACUGUAACUGACGUUGAGGCUCGAAAGCGUGGGGAGCAAACAGGAUUAGAUACCCUCGUA
Molecule: ribosomal RNA, 445 nt
Filed under: uncultured bacterium
Lineage: Bacteria
Description: bacterial SSU rRNA
Rfam family: Bacterial small subunit ribosomal RNA
Source: RNAcentral